UGCCGCGUGAAUGAUGAAGGCCUUCGGGUUGUAAAGUUCUUUUGACGGGGAAGAUGACGACUGUACCCGUAGAAUAAGCACCGGCUAACUUCGUGC
RNAcentral lists this ribosomal RNA (96 nucleotides) under uncultured bacterium. RNAcentral describes it as "partial 16S ribosomal RNA". It matches the Rfam family "Bacterial small subunit ribosomal RNA", at positions 395 to 508 of the family's 1533-position model. The record is from RNAcentral.